Molecule: transfer RNA, 67 nt
Filed under: Haplodiplatys aotouensis
Lineage: Eukaryota; Metazoa; Arthropoda; Insecta; Dermaptera; Haplodiplatyidae
Description: tRNA-Leu
Source: RNAcentral
UCUAAUGUGGCAGAGUAAGUGCGGUAGAUUUAAGCUCUAUAUAUGAACUUAAUAUAUUCCUUUAGAA